GAUAAUGAGAAUCAGAGGUGUUUAGGGCCCAGAACAAUAACUUCAGUUUUGUUUGAGUAUAACAGCGGAAAAUUGUAGGCCAUCCAUGAUUUCAUAUCUUUAAUGCAUACUUGAUGUUUAGCUAACUGACUGGUUUUGCCUGGCUUGAUUGAUAAGUAUAAUUGGGUGUCAUCCACAUAACAGCGAAAGUAAAUUGAGUGUUUCCUAAUAUUAUUGCGUAGAGGAAGCAUGUAUAAGGAGAAUAGAAUUGAUCCAAGCACUGAGCCUUGUGGAACGCCAUGGCUAACUUUUGUUUACCUAGAGGAUUGAUUAUCAACAUUAAGAAAUUGAGAUUGAUCAGAUGAAUAGGACUUAAACCAAUUGAGUGCAAUUCCUUUUAUGCCAACUAAAUGUUCCAAUCUCUGUAACAGGAUAGUAUGGUCAAUAGUGUUGAAUGCUGCAAUAAGAUCUACUAAGACAAGUACGGAGGCAAGUCCUUUGUCAGCAGCAGUUAGAAGAUCAUUAGUAAUUUUCCCCAGUGCCGGCUCUGCUAUGAUGCAUUCUAAAUCCCGACUUAAAGUCCUCAAAUAAACUAUUGCUAUGUAGAACAUCACAUAACUGAUUACCGACUACCUUCUCAAGGAUCUCGUCUCUCUCUGAUCAU
Molecule: long non-coding RNA, 643 nt
Organism: Etheostoma cragini (Arkansas darter)
Lineage: Eukaryota; Metazoa; Chordata; Actinopteri; Perciformes; Percidae
Exons: 3
Source: RefSeq, a predicted model, not a curated record